UACGGAGGGUGCAAGCGUUAUCCGGAUUCACUGGGCGUAAAGGGUGCGUAGGCGGUCGGGUAAGUCUGAUGUGAAAUCUCACAGCUUAACUGUGAAACUGCAUUGGAUACUAUCCGGCUUGAGGAAUGGAGGGGAGACUGGAAUACUUGGUGUAGCAGUGAAAUGCGUAGAUAUCAAGUGGAACACCAGUGGCGAAGGCGAGUCUCUGGACAUUUCCUGACGCUGAGGCACGAAAGCCAGGGGAGCAAACGGG
This 253-nucleotide ribosomal RNA is filed under the name uncultured bacterium. RNAcentral's name for it is "partial 16S ribosomal RNA". It matches the Rfam family "Bacterial small subunit ribosomal RNA", at positions 524 to 776 of the family's 1533-position model. The record is from RNAcentral.